RNAcentral lists this ribosomal RNA (468 nucleotides) under uncultured bacterium. RNAcentral's name for it is "partial 16S ribosomal RNA". It matches the Rfam family "Bacterial small subunit ribosomal RNA", at positions 28 to 507 of the family's 1533-position model. The record is from RNAcentral.
GACGAACGCUGGCGGCGUGCUUAACACAUGCAAGUCGAACGGAAAGGCCCUGCUUUUGUGGGGUGCUCGAGUGGCGAACGGGUGAGUAACACGUGAGUAACCUGCCCUUGACUUUGGGAUAACUUCAGGAAACUGGGGCUAAUACCGGAUAGGAGCUCCUGCUGCAUGGUGGGGGUUGGAAAGUUUCGGCGGUUGGGGAUGGACUCGCGGCUUAUCAGCUUGUUGGUGGGGUAGUGGCUUACCAAGGCUUUGACGGGUAGCCGGCCUGAGAGGGUGACCGGCCACAUGGGGACUGAGAUACGGCCCAGACUCCUACGGGAGGCAGCAGUGGGGAAUAUUGCACAAUGGGCGGAAGCCUGAUGCAGCAACGCCGCGUGCGGGAUGACGGCCUUCGGGGUAUAAACCGCUUUCGCCUGUGACGAAGCGUGAGUGACGGUAAUGGGUAAAGAAGCACCGGCUAACUACGUG